AAACCAACAGGGAUUGCCUUAGUAACGGCGAGUGAAGCGGCAAAAGCUCAAAUUUGAAAUCUGGCACCUUCGGUGUCCGAGUUGUAAUUUGAAGAAGGUAACUUUGGAGUUGGCUCUUGUCUAUGUUCCUUGGAACAGGACGUCACAGAGGGUGAGAAUCCCGUGCGAUGAGAUGCCCAAUUCUAUGUAAAGUGCUUUCGAAGAGUCGAGUUGUUUGGGAAUGCAGCUCUAAGUGGGUGGUAAAUUCCAUCUAAAGCUAAAUAUUGGCGAGAGACCGAUAGCGAACAAGUACAGUGAUGGAAAGAUGAAAAGAACUUUGAAAAGAGAGUGAAAAAGUACGUGAAAUUGUUGAAAGGGAAGGGCUUGAGAUCAGACUUGGUAUUUUGCGAUCCUUUCCUUUUUGGUUGGGUUCUCCGCAGCUUACUGGGCCAGCAUCGGUUUGGACGGUAGGAUAAUGAUUAAGGAAUGUGGCUCUGCUUCGGUGGAGUGUUAUAGCCUUGGUUGAUGCUGCCUGUCUAGACCGAGGACUGCGUCUUU
This 537-nucleotide ribosomal RNA is filed under the name Debaryomyces maramus. RNAcentral describes it as "eukaryotic LSU rRNA". It matches the Rfam family "Eukaryotic large subunit ribosomal RNA", at positions 62 to 604 of the family's 3401-position model. The record is from RNAcentral. Lineage: Eukaryota; Fungi; Ascomycota; Pichiomycetes; Serinales; Debaryomycetaceae.